ACAGAGGUCCCAAGCGUUGUUCGGAUUUACUGGGCGUAAAGGGCGCGUAGGUGGUAGGCUAAGUCUGGUGUGAAAGCUCUGAGCUUAACUCAGAAAUGGCACUAGAUACUAGUUUGCUUGAGGGUUGGAGGGGAGACUGGAAUUCUCGGUGUAGCAGUGAAAUGCGUAGAUAUCGAGAGGAACACCAGUGGCGAAGGCGAGUCUCUGGACAGUUACUGACACUGAGGCACGAAGGCCAGGGGAGCAAACGGGA
This 253-nucleotide ribosomal RNA is filed under the name uncultured prokaryote. Its description in RNAcentral is "partial 16S ribosomal RNA". It matches the Rfam family "Bacterial small subunit ribosomal RNA", at positions 525 to 777 of the family's 1533-position model. The record is from RNAcentral.